Long non-coding RNA from Varanus komodoensis (Komodo dragon), 662 nucleotides. RefSeq lists it as uncharacterized. The record is from RefSeq and is a predicted model, not a curated record. NCBI's taxonomy places the organism in Eukaryota, Metazoa, Chordata, Lepidosauria, Squamata, Varanidae. The transcript has 2 exons.
AGAAGGAACGGAAGAAGUGGCUUCCCUGCUGCUCGCCUGUGCCCAGAGCCCGGGGCCAAGGGGCCUGUGGAAGCAGGCGUGAGCACUGAAGGCCUGCCUUUGACCCGGAGGUCCCGUCCUGGCUGUACCACCCAGGGGCAACGGGGCUGUACUUCACCAGGCAGGCGAACCCGUGGCUCCGCAUUACGUCAGGGAAGUACCUGGCUAUCUAUCGCUUGCAUGCCCUUCUCUGAGAGCUGCCCAGUCCCCUAGAAGCAGCGCCUUCUGCUGAGAUCUCUGCUUGGCCUUCGGCUGGUCGGCAGAGAGCCGUGGCACAGCCCUUGCGUGACCUGAGGUGGACUGCAUCCACCUGCCUAGUCCACUGACUCGUGCUCUGUGUGGUCGAGAUCCAGGGGAAUAAAGCGUGGCUGCUCCGGGUGCUCAGCCGAAAAGGAAUAUUGUAAAGGCGGGAAGGUGUAGAAAAGAGCCGCGAACACGAUCAAGGGGUUGGAUGAAUCUCUUACAAGGCACGGCUAAAACGUUUGUUGAGUACUGUCAGGAGGAGACUUGGGCAUGUGAACAAAUAAUGUUCGAUGGAUGUACUGCUACCUCGCUGGCAACCAUUAAACCUUCAGUAAACACAACCAGGUACCUUUUAUCCUAUGUGGUGGACCUGUAGUAAG